This 283-nucleotide long non-coding RNA is filed under the name Homo sapiens (human). RNAcentral's name for it is "non-protein coding lnc-CCDC140-13:1". The record is from RNAcentral. Lineage: Eukaryota; Metazoa; Chordata; Mammalia; Primates; Hominidae.
UCACAGCCAGUGGGAAUCUACAAGAAGCCAGGAGAGAAAACAGAAAUCAUCUCCGUUUGAAGUCUCACACAGCAGGAUGGCUGUGUGGUGCAGUUGAAUCUUAAAACUCACACCCCAUUUCAUGAACUAAUGAGACCUGUUCUGAAUAAUGAGUCAGGUUUAUCAGUGAGGCAGAUAGAAUUCUCAUUUGAUGAGCAGCCAAUUGGUGAAAAAGGGAUUCCUAAACAAUUAGAAAUGGAGAAAGAUGAUACCACGGAAGCAAUUCAUUCACUAGUUACUUUCU